ACUCGCCCCGCCAACGGCCCUGCCCGCGCAGCCCGGGCCCGGUCCUGCGAAUCGGGGUCCGCUCCCCCGCCCUCCGCGCCCCCGCCCGCGCCCGCGCCGAGCGCCCGAAGCGCGGGAGCCGCGCGCGCCCUGCGGGACGCACCAUCCCGCCCCGGCCACCGAGGGGGAGCGCCGAGGAGCCGCCCGGCCUCCAGUGACGCCCCGCGCCUCUGCCGCCAGCCACGGCUCCGGGGUAGCUGGCGCCGGCAGCCCGCUCUGGCCCUUGCGGUUCCGUGGCCGCCGCUCUGCAACGAGGGGGCCCCGAGGACGAGGGGAAACCAGCUCCCCCCUCGGCGGGGCCGGAGUGAGCCGGUCCCGGGGAGGAGGGGAGCUGGCAGGCCCCUCCCGUCGCCACAUGCGGCUGCUCGGGGGCGGCGCAUGCGCGCGGCGGAGGGGGGGGUGGGGCCUUGGGGCCGCGAGUGGGAGCGGGAGCGGUUCUGCGGCCUCCUCGGGCUUCUUGGCCCUGGGCGGAGUGGGAUUGGGUGUCCCGGCUGUUCGCAGUGGCCGCGAGUGCGGCCGGACCUGGAGUAGUACCUGAGCCGCUCUGGCCGAGCAAGGCGCGGGGCCCCGGUCUACACCGCGCUGGACCCGGCUAUGCCGUGACGGAAUUCCCGAGGCCGUAGCGCCACGCGAGACGCGCACUGGUGGCCUCCGCGGCGAGUCCUGGGGUCUCCGCAAGGCCUCAGUGCCCGAGCUGGGGACGUGCUGGGGGGAGGCCCGGCCCCGUCGCUGCCCGAGGCCCCGCUGUCCCGGCCGGACCGGCCUGGUCCCUGGCGUCCUGUCGGGUCCGCGCUGGAGGAGAGUCCCAGACAGCAGAGCCCGCGGUGCAGCUCCAGCCCCGGGAAGCCCCGCGCUCAACAGGUUAAUACUACACAGCGGCGAUUCUAAUGGUCACGCUUUUAUUUACAGCUCGCCUCCCUUCCGCCAAGAUUCACAGAACACGGCAGAGUGGCCUCGGGAUCACCUGCCCAAGACACCUGCACGACCGGAAGUUGGGAGAAGAAAUUAAGGCCAUGAUGAUGAACGCAGCCUUUCUCGUUUAUUUCCAAUCCCACAACAAACCGGAGUCCAGGAACUCAUGGGUGAUUAUCGGACUAUUACCUAGUCGUAAAACUGUGGAGCAUUGGUGUCUAAAGGAAUCUGAGACAGACCCGCAGUGUCUCCCCCACAUGCCUUAAGUCACUUCUGCCAAGCAGAAAAUCAUUUUUAAGUAAAUGUUAGUGAAAUUGGUUUUAAAAAAGAGAAGGGGCCGGGCGCGGUGGCUCACGCCUGUAAUCCUAUCCUUUAGGAGGCCGAGGUGGGCGGAUUGCCUGAGUUCAGGAGUUCGAGACCAGCCUGGGCGACACGGUGAAACCCCGUCCCUACUAAAAUACAAAAAAUUAGCCGGGCGUGGCGGCACGCGCCUGUAGUCCCAGCUACUCAGGAGGCUGAGGCAGGAGAAUGGCUUGAACUCGGGUGGGGGAGGUUGCAAUGAGCCGAGAUCGCGCCGCUGCACUCCAGCCUGGGCGACAGAGCGAGACUCUGUCUCUGAAAAAAAACAAAACAAAACGAGAAGGCUUUCAAAAUUACUCUGCGGUACACUAAUUUAACAGAUUAGAUCACUUUCCAGGCUUUAAGUUGGCCUUUGUUCUACCCUUUUUUUAGUGUAUGAUAAAAGUUGUGUUGGUUCGUUGAUCAGCAUGCAAUGAACUCUGGCUCUUGUUAAUCAGGUGACUACAGUUUUGUCCUUACAUUUGUAUGUAUGUCAUGAGUGGUUUUGUAUGGGCAGGAGGUAAACAACGCACAUUUAAAUAUACUUAAUGAUUUAUCAUUCCAAUGUUUUCUGGUUGUUUUAGUCUUUCAUUUGUCUCUUGAACAAUCUGAAACAUCCCUAUUCUAAGGCUAAAAAAUUUCCUUUACAAACUUAGGUUAAACAUUCCUAAUCUGAAAUCCAAAAUGCUCUAAAAUUCGAAUUUUUUUGAGUACUGACGUGACCCCACAAAUGGAAAAUUCCACACUUGCCCUCAUGUGACACUGGGUGACAGUCAAGUCACAAUCAAGCCUGGUGUGGUGGGCACCUGUAGUGCCAGCUACUCGGGAGGUUGAGCAGGAGGAUUGCUUGAGCCCAGGAGUUUGAGUCCAGCCUGGACGAUAUAGCCAGACCCUGUCUGUAAAAAAACAAAAACCAAAACAAAAAAAACAAUGAAAACAUUUUUUUUUAAAACGCCAUCAAAACUUUGUUUCAUGCACAAAAUUAUUUAAAAUAUAUAAUAUAACCUUACCUUCAGGCUAUGUGGGUAAGGUAAGGUGUAUGUGAAACAAAUGAAUUUCCCAUUUAGACUUGGGUCCCAUCCCCAAGAUAUCUUAUUAUGUAUAUGCAAAUAUUCCAAAUCAAAAAUAUCUGAAAUACUUUUGUCCCAAGCAUUUCAGAUAAAGGUUACUCAACCUGUAAUAAAAACACUCAGUGCUUGCCUGAAGGAAAAACCAAGAAUUUGUCAUCCAUCCUUAAAUUUUUAUGACACCCUUUGUAAUCAGGAAACCUUUUAAUACCUAAGAAUAUAUUUGAUAUAUUCUGGUAUAUGUUUAUCAUUCUGAUGUUUAAUGUUCUAUGUUGGGCAUAUAUCAGUGUAAUAAAUACAUUAGAUCCAAAUACAGAUCAUGCUGCCUUUUUAUCGACCUGUGUGAGAGAACUUAUUUAUCCUUUUCUUUUUCUUUCUUUUUUUUGAAACGGAGUCCCACUCUCACCCAGGCUGGAGUGCAAUGGCGUGGUCUCAGCUCACUACAACUUCCACCCCCUGGGUUCAAGCGAUUCUCCCACCUCAGCCUCCCAAGUAGCUGGGACUACAGGUGCGUGCCACCACACCUGGCUAAUUUUGGUAUUUUUAGUAGAGACAGGUUUUCACUAUGUUGGCCAGGCUGGUCUUGAACUCCUGACCUUGUGAUCCUUCUGCCUCGGCCUCCCAAAGUGCUGGGGUUAAAGGCGUGAGCCAUCACACCCGGCCCUCCCUUUGAUUUUCUUGGUUAAACACAAACUAAGCAUGUGAUUUUAUGUUAAAAGACCUGAAGUGGACCUCAACCAGGUAUUUUAUUUUGUGAAUUAAGAAAGCAAUUUGUAACGUUCAAGAGAACAAGCUUACCCUACUUCAGGUUCUGAUGGUAAGGCAAAUUGCGGGAUUAAGAAACCUGCUAUUUAAGGCCAGCGUGGUGGCUCACCCCUAUAAUCCCAGCACUUUGGGAGGCCAAGGCAGGCAGAUCACUGGAGGUCAGGAGUUCAACACCAGCCUGGCCAACAUGGUGAAAGCCAGUCUCUACUAAAAACAAAAAUUAGCUGGGCAUGGUGGCGUGCACCUGUAAUCCUACCUUCUUGGGAAGCUGAGGCAGGAGAAUCACUUGAACCCGGGAAGCAGAGGUUGCAGAGAGCAGAGAUCACACCACUGCACUCCAGCUUAGGUGGCAGAGUGAGACUCUAAAUAAAUAAAUAAAUCUGCUAUUUAAAACCCCAUCACCUAGUCAGUAUUUGUAAAAUAUCACACGUGAACUGUGCAAGGCGGUCCACACAAGUGGAUCUUACGGCAACAGCAUCAGGAAGGCCUGGAGGCAGUGUCACACUCACUCACUGAGUCUCCAAUACUACUGCUUGGCCAGUAAUGAAAAAUAAAAAUGUUUACAUUAGGUUAAUUUCAUGUGGAUAAAGGAUGCUCUGAGGCAGUCUAAAAAACUAGCAUCCUGACAUCAUGAAGAGUAACCCAUCUAGCAGAGGACGUAAAGAUGGCAAGUCAAUAUUUAAAGGCAAGCGGUAAACUCAGAAAUUAUCUUCCCCAAAAUGGCCAUAUGCAAAGUUAUAGGAACAAAAUAUCAUGUUGACAGUGCUGUAUCUUAUUCACAGUUAAAUAAAAUUCUUAUCACUGGUUUUGUGACACUUUAAGGAUGACCCAUUUUAGGGUGAUAGCUAUCAGUUUAUUAAACAGAAGCUAUGCAUUUGUUUAAUUUGAAGCAUAUACCACUUCCAAAUAUGACACUGAGCAUUAAUAUUUUUAGACUUCCCCCAGGUAAAUUAAAAGCAUGAUCAUUUUGUUGAUAAUCAGCCUUUGGAGAAUUAAACAGCCUGCUUACUGCCAGUGCUAGUUCAGUAAAUAUGUUUCUCAUUUUCUAUUUGGCAAAAUUAGAUAACCUAAGCCUAGGAAAAAUAAAAAAUUAGAAAAAAAAAAGUAGAUUUGGGGAUAUUUAACUCAAAUUGCCCUUACUGGUGGAAACUCGAGGCAGUUACUUAGAUUAUUUCCAAAUGGCUUUUUUUAAAUGUAUUUCUAUAUUGUAUACAACAGUCUCAGUCUUCAUCUCUCCUGUUCAGCUAUCCAUACAUCCCUUAAAAUUAGAUAUUUUUAAUGUUUAGUAAACCUUCAGUUUGGGUUUAUAGACAACAUUUAACCUUCUCAUGAAAGGGUCAGAAUACUCCAGUUGCAGGCACAAACAGGCCAUAGUUUAGUUGAAGGAGAAACUGCGAACUCAAAGGAGCACUGCUUCUCUGCAGGAAAGAUCCCGUCAGUGGACCUGCGGGGCACAGCUGCCACCAGUGUCAUGUAGCUAUUCAGUGUCGGAAAACUAGAAAUCACAAGUGAAGAGAAAUUGUAAAUUACCUCAAAUUCUAUGCCCAGAAGCAACCACUAUGGAAAUCCUUCUAGACAUUGUCCCGUAUAAAUAUAUUUCCCUAAAAAAAAUUAUACCCCAUACUCUGCCACUUCAAAAAAAUCAAGACUGUUUUUCCAUGUCAAUAAAUAUCUAUAUCAUUUAAUGAAUACAUAAUACUCCCUUGUUUGAAUGUACAAUAUUCUGUAUUGUUGCACAUUUGUUGUUUCCAAUUUAACAAUUACAGUACUCCAAUGAAGCAAUCAUCUUAAAAUACAUGUAUAA
This 4926-nucleotide long non-coding RNA is filed under the name Homo sapiens (human). Its description in RNAcentral is "non-protein coding PAXIP1-AS1:13". The record is from RNAcentral. Lineage: Eukaryota; Metazoa; Chordata; Mammalia; Primates; Hominidae.